This 507-nucleotide ribosomal RNA is filed under the name uncultured Methanosarcina sp. RNAcentral's name for it is "bacterial SSU rRNA". It matches the Rfam family "Archaeal small subunit ribosomal RNA", at positions 492 to 998 of the family's 1478-position model. The record is from RNAcentral. Lineage: Archaea; Methanobacteriati; Methanobacteriota; Methanomicrobia; Methanosarcinales; Methanosarcinaceae.
UGAUCGUGAUUAUUGGGUCUAAAGGGUCCGUAGCCGGUUUGGUCAGUCCUCCGGGAAAUCUGACGGCUUAACCGUUAGGCUUUCGGGGGAUACUGCCAGGCUUGGAACCGGGAGAGGUAAGAGGUACUACAGGGGUAGGAGUGAAAUCUUGUAAUCCCUGUGGGACCACCUGUGGCGAAGGCGUCUUACCAGAACGGGUUCGACGGUGAGGGACGAAAGCUGGGGGCACGAACCGGAUUAGAUACCCGGGUAGUCCCAGCCGUAAACGAUGCUCGCUAGGUGUCAGGCAUGGCGCGACCGUGUCUGGUGCCGCAGGGAAGCCGUGAAGCGAGCCACCUGGGAAGUACGGCCGCAAGGCUGAAACUUAAAGGAAUUGGCGGGGGAGCACAACAACGGGUGGAGCCUGCGGUUUAAUUGGACUCAACGCCGGACAACUCACCGGGGGCGACAGCAAUAUGUAGGCCAAGCUGAAGACUUUGCCUGAAUCGCUGAGAGGAGGUGCAUGGC